RNAcentral lists this ribosomal RNA (496 nucleotides) under uncultured bacterium. Its description in RNAcentral is "partial 16S ribosomal RNA". It matches the Rfam family "Bacterial small subunit ribosomal RNA", at positions 28 to 506 of the family's 1533-position model. The record is from RNAcentral.
GACGAACGCUGGCGGCGUGCCUAAUACAUGCAAGUUGAGCGCUGAAGGUUGGUACUUGUACCGACUGGAUGAGCAGCGAACGGGUGAGUAACGCGUGGGGAAUCUGCCUUUGAGCGGGGGACAACAUUUGGAAACGAAUGCUAAUACCGCAUAAAAACUUUAAACACAAGUUUUAAGUUUGAAAGAUGCAAUUGCAUCACUCAAAGAUGAUCCCACGUUGUAUUAGCUAGUUGGUGAGGUAAAGGCUCACCAAGGCGGUGAUACAUAGUCGACCUGGUAGGUUGAUCGCCCACAUUUGUACUGAGACACCGCCCAAACUCCUACGGGAGGCAGCAGUAGGGAAUCUUCGGCAAUGGACGAAAGUCUGACCGAGCAACGCCGCGUGAGUGAAGAGGGUUUUCGGAUCGUAAAACUCUGUUGGUAGAGAAGAACGUUGGUGGGAUUGGAAAGCUCAUCAAGUGACGGUAACUACCCAGAAGGGGACGGCGAACUACGU